Molecule: ribosomal RNA, 601 nt
Filed under: Salmonella enterica subsp. enterica
Lineage: Bacteria; Pseudomonadati; Pseudomonadota; Gammaproteobacteria; Enterobacterales; Enterobacteriaceae
Also listed under: 1 other name
Description: partial 23S ribosomal RNA
Rfam family: Bacterial large subunit ribosomal RNA
Source: RNAcentral
GGGUUGUGAGGUUAAGCGACUAAGCGUACACGGUGGAUGCCCUGGCAGUCAGAGGCGAUGAAGGACGUGCUAAUCUGCGAUAAGCGCCGGUAAGGUGAUAUGAACCGUUAUAACCGGCGAUUUCCGAAUGGGGAAACCCAGUGUGAUUCGUCACACUAUCAUUAACUGAAUCCAUAGGUUAAUGAGGCGAACCGGGGGAACUGAAACAUCUAAGUACCCCGAGGAAAAGAAAUCAACCGAGAUUCCCCCAGUAGCGGCGAGCGAACGGGGAGGAGCCCAGAGCCUGAAUCAGCAUGUGUGUUAGUGGAAGCGUCUGGAAAGGCGCGCGAUACAGGGUGACAGCCCCGUACACAAAAGCGCAUGUGCUGUGAGCUCGAUGAGUAGGGCGGGACACGUGGUAUCCUGUCUGAAUAUGGGGGGACCAUCCUCCAAGGCUAAAUACUCCUGACUGACCGAUAGUGAACCAGUACCGUGAGGGAAAGGCGAAAAGAACCCCGGCGAGGGGAGUGAAAAAGAACCUGAAACCGUGUACGUACAAGCAGUGGGAGCACCCUUUGGGGUGUGACUGCGUACCUUUUGUAUAAUGGGUCAGCGACUUAUA